AUGUACCUACGGGGCGCAGCAGUGAGGAAUAUUGGUCAAUGGCCGAGAGGCUGAACCAGCCAAGUCGCGUGAGGGAAGACGGCCCUACGGGUUGUAAACCUCUUUUGUCAGGGAGCAAGGGGCGGGUCGAGACCUGCUGUGAGAGUACCUGAAGAAAAAGCAUCGGCUAACUCCGUGCCAGCAGCCGCGGGAAUACGGAGGAUGCGAGCGUUAUCCGGAUUUAUUGGGUUUAAAGGGUGCGCAGGCGGAGGCACAAGUCAGCGGGAAA
This 268-nucleotide ribosomal RNA is filed under the name uncultured bacterium. Its description in RNAcentral is "partial 16S ribosomal RNA". It matches the Rfam family "Bacterial small subunit ribosomal RNA", at positions 333 to 598 of the family's 1533-position model. The record is from RNAcentral.